RNAcentral lists this transfer RNA (364 nucleotides) under uncultured Microcystis sp. RNAcentral describes it as "partial 16S-23S ribosomal RNA intergenic spacer". The stretch from base 135 to 208 matches the Rfam family "tRNA". The record is from RNAcentral. Lineage: Bacteria; Bacillati; Cyanobacteriota; Cyanophyceae; Chroococcales; Microcystaceae.
AAAGGGAGACCUAAUUCAGGUAGGAGACGAAAAAAAGUAGUCCCUACCAAGAAUCAAUCCCAAAAGGUCGGAGCGAGGCAAAAUUGGCUUUCAAACUAGGUUCUGGGUUCACAUAAGACCUGAAUCAGGAACAAGGGCUAUUAGCUCAGGUGGUUAGAGCGCACCCCUGAUAAGGGUGAGGUCCCUGGUUCGAGUCCAGGAUGGCCCACCUGCACAGGUGGCAAAAACAAAGAAAAAAAGCUCCGAAUCAGCACCUUAUCUUACUUAUACAGUAAGAGAGAAUGCUGGCUCUGAGUUCAGAGUCCAGAGGAACCUUGAAAACUGCAUAGAGCUAGGUGAAAAAGCCAAAAAAGAAGACCGCAAG